GUGUCGAUAAGAAAAUGGUUAUAAGAUACUAAUUAUUUUAUAAAAUGUUUCUUGAUUAAUUUUUUUGAGGAUAAGCUCGGAAAAAAGUUAAGAUAUUUUACUGAUUUAGGUUGUUAUGUGGGCUUAAAAUUGGCCAUCAUAAGAGUUUGUUAUAAAACAAGAAUCUUAAUAUUUAAAAUAAAUAUAUUAUAUUCUAAUUUUUCUAUAGGAAUAAAGCCUCUAAUUAAUAGAUGUCUUAUACUUAUGCUAGGAUGAGUAUUAAAAUCUACAUGCAUUAAGAAAGUUUUAUAUAUUUUUCUUCUAAUAAAAUAUUAAUCAAAUCAAAUUAGUUAGAAGGAACUCGGCAAAUUCAAUGCAUCCGCCUGUUUAUCAAAAACAUGGCUCUUUGCAUACAUUUUUAUAGGGAGUCAGGCCUGCCCAGUGAAUAAUAUUUAACGGCCGCGGUACUCUGACCGUGCAAAGGUAGCAUAAUCAUUUGCCUUAUAAUUGAAGGCUAGUAUGAAUGGUUUAACGAGAGCAAUACUGUCUCCUUUCUAGUUUCAAGAAUUUAACCUUUAGGUGAAGAGGCCUAAAUUUAAUUGAAGGACAAGAAGACCCUGUCGAGCUUAAAAGAAACCAUAGAAUUUUAUAUAUUUUUAGAUAAAUUUCCUAUUAAGCUUUUUAAUUGGGGCGAUUAAGGAACAAAAAAAGCUUCCUACAAAAAAUAAACAACCAGGUUUUGAUCCGAUAAUAAUCGAUUAAGGAAAUUAGUUACCGCAGGGAUAACAGCAUAAUCUCUCUUGAGAGACCUAAUCGAAAGAGGGGGUUGUGACCUCGAUGUUGGACUAGAAUAUCCUAAAGAUGCAGAAGUCUUUAAAGG
RNAcentral lists this ribosomal RNA (859 nucleotides) under Pleurocera acuta. RNAcentral's name for it is "partial 16S ribosomal RNA". It matches the Rfam family "Bacterial large subunit ribosomal RNA", at positions 1412 to 2571 of the family's 2925-position model. The record is from RNAcentral. Lineage: Eukaryota; Metazoa; Mollusca; Gastropoda; Pleuroceridae.